UGGGGAAUAUUGCACAAUGGGCGAAAGCCUGAUGCAGCGACGCCGCGUGAGGGACGACGGCCUUCGGGUUGUAAACCUCUUUCAGCAGGGACGAAGCGCAAGUGACGGUACCUGCAGAAGAAGCACCGGCUAACUACGUGCCAGCAGCCGCGGUAAUACGUAGGGUGCGAGCGUUGUCCGGAAUUAUUGGGCGUAAAGAGCUCGUAGGCGGUUUGUCGCGUCGGCCGUGAAAACUUGGGGCUUAACCCCGAGCCUGCGGUCGAUACGGGCAGACUUGAGUUCGGCAGGGGAGACUGGAAUUCCUGGUGUAGCGGUGAAAUGCGCAGAUAUCAGGAGGAACACCGGUGGCGAAGGCGGGUCUCUGGGCCGAUACUGACGCUGAGGAGCGAAAGCGUGGGGA
This 400-nucleotide ribosomal RNA is filed under the name uncultured bacterium. RNAcentral's name for it is "bacterial SSU rRNA". It matches the Rfam family "Bacterial small subunit ribosomal RNA", at positions 355 to 767 of the family's 1533-position model. The record is from RNAcentral.